RNAcentral lists this ribosomal RNA (498 nucleotides) under uncultured bacterium. RNAcentral's name for it is "partial 16S ribosomal RNA". It matches the Rfam family "Bacterial small subunit ribosomal RNA", at positions 28 to 507 of the family's 1533-position model. The record is from RNAcentral.
GAUGAACGCUGGCGGCGUGCCUAAUACAUGCAAGUCGAGCGAACUUUCGGGAGCUUGCUCCCAAAAGUUAGAGGCGGACGGGUGAGUAACACGUGGGGAACCUGCCUGUAAGAGUCGGAUAACAUCGGGAAACCGGAGCUAAUAUCGGAUAACAUAGUAGACAACAUGGCCUUCAAUUAAAAGAUGGCUUUUAGCUACCACUUACAGAUGGAUCCGCGGCGCAUUAGCUAGUUGGUGAGGUAACGGCUUACCAAGGCGACGAUGCGUAGCCGACCUGAGAGGGUGGACCGCCAACAUGGGAACUGGAACCGGCCCAGGCCCCCUACGGGGGCAACAAGAGGGGAAUUUCCGCAAUGGGCCGAAGGCUGGAGGAACAACGCCGGGGGGGGGGAGGAGGCCCUCGGGUCGUAAAGCUCUGUUGUUAGGGAAGAAAAAGUAGCGUACGAAUAGGGCGAUAUCUUGACGGUACCUAACCAGAAAGCCACGGCUAACUACGUG